Molecule: long non-coding RNA, 2509 nt
Organism: Gasterosteus aculeatus aculeatus (three-spined stickleback)
Lineage: Eukaryota; Metazoa; Chordata; Actinopteri; Perciformes; Gasterosteidae
Source: Ensembl
GAGGGAAAAGGGCCAAACCACAACGUGUUUAAAAGGGAACCAGUGGCAUCCAGUGUGCCGUAGACGAGCUGAGCAGGACGGACUAACAAAGCCGUGGACUGUUGUGAGCGUGUUAGUCCAGCAGGUCUGUGCUUUAGUUACAGUGACGCUCCAGCCACGGAGCUGCGUUUCAUUACCAGCACACGCGUGUUGUGUAUUGACAGACGUGUUGGAGCAGUCAGGAGGGACGGGAUCGGUCAUAAGAGGUGCUGCCUCUCACUUUUGUACUUAAUUAACCUUCCAUAAUGUCUGCUAAACUUUUGACUGGUGCGUCAUCUUGUCAGAUCUGUACGUUUGAGCUUUAGCUCGACCCUGUUAACUAUUUAUCUUUUUAAAAAUCAAGGAGUUGUAACAAAUUGUACUUUUGACCAUUGGGACAUUUUAAGUGCGUUCAUGUUCAGCAUGUUAAGACUUAUGACGAUUACCGUAUUUUCCGCACUAUACGGCGCACCUUCAAAGAAUGACCUAUUUAAAACAUUUUCAUUUUCAGUUGCAUCGCGUGCAGCACGUGACCGCUCGCGCAAGAAGGUGGAACAAGGGAGACCCCAUUUCCAAGACUUAAGGGCGGAAUAACUAGUUUGUGAAAGACUCAAACACACAUUUUGUAGUUUACCAGUCGUACCGAAACAUAUUUAUUAUUAUUGGUUUUUCAUACUGAAACAUUUUGACAGCCGUGUACAACCAGUGUGGAUCAACCAAUUGAUCCACAUACAAGGCGCUCGGGAUUAUAAGACGCACGGUCGUUUUUUGAGAAAAUUAAAGGCUUUUAAGAGCGGGAAAAAAAGCGGUGUAUAGAACAGCCUGAUGUUUUCUGUUUUAGUUGACAAACACUCACCGGACACGUCACUAGGUGCACCGUACUAGUGAGAGUUUGGACCCCUUUUGCCUUCAGCACUGCCUUGGUUCCUCCUGGCAUACUUUCACUUUCACACAUGUUGGUCCGUACUGACAUGGUGGCGUCACGCAGCUGCUGAAGCUCCCGUUGCAGCACGUCCCAGAGGUCUAUUGGCUUGAGAUGUGGUGUCGCUCACUUAAAUGUUCUCUAUUUGGGCCUUUCUGUGUAGAUGAGCAGUCAGUGACGUGCUCCAACAAUCCACGUUAAGGUCACGUGAUGCCCUUUCUACCCCGUUGUCAUGCUCGCGUUGUACCUCCGUUCUCUUCCCCACGUCUACGCGCACAAACGCAUUGAGUUGCUGCCAUUGCUGAUUAGCAAACAAUUUAGCAGGUGUACCUACUAAAGUGGCCUGUGGUGUGUACAUGAAUAGACAUAUAUCUGGUAGUGAAGUAUUGUGGUAAUAUUGGUAUAAAGGUAAAUACAACAGUUAAUGCGCACGUGAAAUCAAGAAAAAUGACUCGUCCAACUGAUUUAAAACAUACAAGAGGUUCCAUCCAUCCAGCACACGCUGUGUCCCGUCUCCCUGAUGGUCCCCAGAGGGCUUUACAGUGUGCACACGGCCGCCGUCCCUGAACCGCGUGUCAUUAAAUGAACGCGCUGUUUGUUCUGGCGUCCUGACUCACGGACGGGUUUCACCUGAAGACUGAACACCUGCUGGGCCUCAUCGCUUACCUUGUUCUGAGAACACGAAGGAGGCCGCGGGGUCCUGGUGCUGGACUCAGAAGAAAGCAGCAGGAUCGAAAGAAAUAAAAAAACCCAAAAUAAACAAAGAAAACCGAGUAACUCAAAGAUGCACAUUUGGACGAUCUGUACAGAAGUGAUUGUACAAUUUAUAAUUUUGAUAAAUAUAAUAUAUUAUUUUUCACAUUGUGUUUUGCCUUCUGUGAAACGGUCUCACAACGUGAUGUAACGUGGCUGAUGGACAAAGAUGGCUGGAACUGGAGAGUCAAAUUUACACCACUAGAUGAUAAGACUGUUGUUUCCCUGUGUGUGUGUGUGUGUGUGUGUGUGUGAAAGCAUUGAUAAGAGCUGUGCUAAGAGGUGCUAAAGUAGAGCAGGUUGGACUUGAACAGAAUGUGUGUGUGUGUGUGUGUGUGUGCGUGUGUGUGUGUGAGCAGGAGACAUCAGAGCACACAGUGUCCUCAAUGAUUAACACAUAAAGGGGACAUCAAUGAUACCAAAUGCAUGCGUCAAAACAGACAGACCAUACGAUGUCACCACCGACCCACCGACCAAUGGUGGAGGUGACGGGUGCUCAUAAGACGGGGCUCUGCAGUUAUUUCAGGGUGUUCCCAGAGAGCAUCCUCCAUCAGAACCACAGAACCAUCAGGACCAUCAGACCCAUCAGGACCAUCAGACCCAUCAGACCCAUCAGGACCAUCAGAACCAUCAGGACCAUCAGACCCAUCAGACCCAUCAGACCCAUCAGGACCAUCAGGACCAUCAGACCCUUCAGGACCAUCAGACCCAUCAGACCCAUCAGGACCAUCAGGACCAUCAGACCAUCAGACCCAUCAGGACCAUCAGGACCAUCAGACCCAUCAGGACCAUCAGACCCAUCAGACCCAUCAGGAC